GAAGAGCUUUCACAGUGUGCAUUCCUAAUGCUCGACUCCCCUCUUCAAACUCUCACAAUUUUGCCCUAAAAUAAACCCUAGAAUCUAAAUCCGAUUUAGAACAUCCAACUGCACGUCAAACGCAGAUCAAUUCUGCAAUUCUCCUGCAGAAUCUGGUGGCUGUCGGUUUGAGUCGAGUUAAAAUCAAUUCCGAGGUGGGGCAGGUUCCGGUGCAGGAUAGCAACUCGAUGAUAACUCGGUCGAAACUCGUAGAGCAACUGAGAGAUUACCAGAUCCGAUCCCAGCAUAAGUUCCCUGCCCUCGCCGUCUUCUCUCCCAAACCCCUACUCUCCACCUGGACUGAUGUUGCCGUUGCUAUUUUCUGGGCGUUGAUCUUUUUCGUGCUUCUAGUUUCUUCGUACAUUACCCUUUACCUAAAACAUUACCAUAUUUCCUUCGUCAUUGUGUGCCUUGGUAUCCUUGUUCCAAUUCGUUUGAAAAUUUCACGACAGUCGCUUGCAAGGAAAAGGGAUAGAAGAUUGUUAUUGCCUUUAUCCAUGUGAGCCCCCUCAACUAUUGCUAGACAAUGUACCAUUGUUCACUGCCAGAAAGUUGGUUUUCCAGUUGCAUUUCAAGAAAUGGGAAGCUGACUGAACAUGAUUAACGUACGCUCACAUACCUCUAGAAAUAUGGUAUGGCUCUGUUCUAUUUUUUUGUCAUAGCCAGUUUAAAGGUUUAAGAAACUCCUAGCGCAAUUCUCUCCUCAGUAAGGAACUUUUUUGAACUGUUCAAGUAACAGUUGAAGGUUCUCUAGCUUUAAGUUUUGCGACCAAUAGAUUGUAAAUGCAUGUGGAAUGGAAGGAAAGUUUUCAGUGA
Molecule: non-coding RNA, 855 nt
Organism: Sesamum indicum (sesame)
Lineage: Eukaryota; Viridiplantae; Streptophyta; Magnoliopsida; Lamiales; Pedaliaceae
Source: RefSeq, a predicted model, not a curated record